RNAcentral lists this unclassified non-coding RNA (279 nucleotides) under plant metagenome. Its description in RNAcentral is "partial contains small subunit ribosomal RNA, internal transcribed spacer 1, and 5.8S ribosomal RNA". The record is from RNAcentral.
UUUCCGUAGGUGAACCUGCGGAAGGAUCAUUAUUGUAUCACCGAGGUGGGCGGGCUGUCGGUGACCCUACCGCUCGUGGACAGCCGUAACACCUUACACACAUACAUCUCUCCAUUAUUUUUAUAACCGCGCGUUUCCUACUUCGGCUGUUUCGGAGGCGGCCGUACGUAUUCACCCAAACUUUUUUUGCAUUGUAGAUUGUAUUUUUAGUUUUUGAGAAUCCUUAAAACAUUCAACAAUCAAUAACGUAUCUCUUGCAUCUUGCAUCGAUGAAGAACA